UCCCCGUUGGCCGGGGCAGUCUCGUCUGAAAAAUACAACAGACGACAAGGGUUGCGCUCGUUGCGGGACUUAACCCAACAUCUCACGACACGAGCUGACGACGGCCAUGCAGCACCUGUCACCAGGCUCCCGAAGGCACGGCUCUGUCUCCAAAGCCUUCCUGGGAUGUCAAGGGUCGGUAAGGUUCUACGCUUAGCAUCGAAUUAAACCACAUGCUCCACCGCUUGUGCGGGUCCCCGUCAAUUCCUUUGAGUUUUAAGCUUGCGCUCGUACUCCCCAGGCGGCAGGCUUAACGCGUUAGCUUCUCAGCCCAAGGGGUCGAUACCUCGAACUAAUAGCCUGCAUCGUUUACGGCGUGGACUAC
This 364-nucleotide unclassified non-coding RNA is filed under the name uncultured bacterium. Its description in RNAcentral is "contains 16S-23S intergenic spacer region". The record is from RNAcentral.